This 675-nucleotide long non-coding RNA is filed under the name Nicotiana tabacum (common tobacco). RNAcentral describes it as "long non-coding RNA (NTAB_LNC005391)". The record is from RNAcentral. Lineage: Eukaryota; Viridiplantae; Streptophyta; Magnoliopsida; Solanales; Solanaceae.
AUCCAAGAGCUAAGAGACCUAAGGGAGAAAAAUACAGAAAAAGAAAAGUUGCUACUGUUCCAUUGAGACUUGGCUCUACACCUCGAAAUUUUCACUCUCUGAAACAUUUUUUUGGUCUGGACUUUGAAAUGGUUUGAGGUUUAGUCAGUGAGGUCAGAUUUUGGUGUUUAUCGAAUUGGCUAUGUGUUUUGAAGCUGGUGUUAGCUUACUGAAUUGCAUUUUACUGGGUUUUGAACUAUGAAGUUACUGUUUUAUUGGAUUUGGAACUAAUUCUGUGGUUUCAUCACUGAAUCUGGGCUGUUUUGUUGCUGCUAUCAAUCUCUGUUGAAGUACAAACUGUUGAUCCUUCUUUAUUUACUUGUUCCUUUCAUUUCAGGUACUCACACCUUCCAAUGUAUGAAAAUGGAUAAAUAUGAAGAUUGGUUCACUUGAAUAGAGAUUUAUAAUAAUGUAGUUGUUAUUCAAAAAAAAAGCUGCAAUCCGCCGUUUUCCUAUCAGACCUCCCCCACGCUCCUGCUUCUUCAUUCCUCAUCACCAUUAGAGAGCCUUAGACAGAGGAGCCGAAGCAGCUCCGCAAACCCCAAUAUCCAAAACACAAACAACCUCCAUGAUCGUCUUCUUCAUCAGAAAAGCCCCAAGAGAUGUACACUUGAGGAAGCAGUAGUUACACCCAAA